Molecule: small RNA, 75 nt
Organism: Xanthomonas albilineans GPE PC73
Lineage: Bacteria; Pseudomonadati; Pseudomonadota; Gammaproteobacteria; Lysobacterales; Lysobacteraceae
Rfam family: Xanthomonas sRNA sX9
Source: Rfam
GUGUACCCCCGUGUACACCACGGUUCCUGCGCACUGUCCGCGCCGCCCGACAGCGGCUCGCGACAUUUUUCAGCC